RNAcentral lists this ribosomal RNA (780 nucleotides) under uncultured Actinomycetes bacterium. RNAcentral describes it as "bacterial SSU rRNA". It matches the Rfam family "Bacterial small subunit ribosomal RNA", at positions 56 to 852 of the family's 1533-position model. The record is from RNAcentral. Lineage: Bacteria; Bacillati; Actinomycetota; Actinomycetes.
UGCAGUCGAGCGAUGAAGCACCUUCGGGUGUGAAUUAGCGGCGAACGGGUGAGGAACACGUGAAGAAUCUGCCUUCAACUCUGGGAUAACUCCGGGAAACCGGGGCUAAUACCGGAUAUGAGCCUUGAUCGCAUGAUCGGGGCUGGAAAGUUUUUCGGUUGAAGAUGACUUCGCGGCCUAUCAGCUUGUUGGUGAGGUAAUGGCUCACCAAGGCGACGACGGGUAGCCGGCCUGAGAGGGCGACCGGCCACACUGGGACUGAGACACGGCCCAGACUCCUACGGGAGGCAGCAGUGGGGAAUAUUGGGCAAUGGAGGAAACUCUGACCCAGCGACGCCGCGUGAGGGAUGAAGGCCUUCGGGUUGUAAACCUCUUUCAGUAGGGAAGAAGCGAAAGUGACGGUACCUACAGAAGAAGCACCGGCUAACUAUGUGCCAGCAGCCGCGGUAAUACAUAGGGUGCAAGCGUUGUCCGGAAUUAUUGGGCGUAAAGAGCUCGUAGGUGGUUCGAUACGUCGGAUGUGAAAAUCAGGGGCUCAACCCCUGACCUGCAUCCGAUACGGUCGAGCUAGAGUUUGGUAGGGGAGACUGGAAUUCCUGGUGUAGCGGUGGAAUGCGCAGAUAUCAGGAGGAACACCGAUGGCGAAGGCAGGUCUCUGGGCCAAUACUGACACUGAGGAGCGAAAGCGUGGGGAGCGAACAGGAUUAGAUACCCUGGUAGUCCACGCCGUAAACGGUGGGCGCUAGUUGUGCGAACCUUCCACGGUUUGUGCGACGCAGC